CCCCAACUCCAUAUCAAUCGUUCGGACCUUAUUCCUCUGCUAUAUCUACAUGAAGGUUAUUGGGUGUUAUUCUAACUAUUAUGGAUUUCACGACCUGCUGCUGAUCAUGGAUGAGAGAUUCAAGCUAAAGAUUGUCAUACAACAUUCAUCUGAGAACUCGUCAUGUUGUGCGUGAGUUAAUGUGUUGCGCACAUAAAGCUGAUCAUAAUACGAGAAAGGUAAGCAAAAUUGUUUUGAUAAAUGGAUCUAAGACAACGAUAAAAAGUUUGCUU
Molecule: long non-coding RNA, 272 nt
Filed under: Spirodela polyrhiza (greater duckweed)
Lineage: Eukaryota; Viridiplantae; Streptophyta; Magnoliopsida; Alismatales; Araceae
Description: long non-coding RNA (SPOL_LNC002222)
Source: RNAcentral